RNAcentral lists this ribosomal RNA (1286 nucleotides) under metagenome. RNAcentral describes it as "SSU rRNA". It matches the Rfam family "Eukaryotic small subunit ribosomal RNA", at positions 493 to 1800 of the family's 1831-position model. The record is from RNAcentral.
AAUCGAGGCCCCGUAAUUGGAAUGAGUACACUUUAAAUCCUUUAACGAGGAUCAAUUGGAGGGCAAGUCUGGUGCCAGCAGCCGCGGUAAUUCCAGCUCCAAUAGCGUAUAUUAAAGUUGUUGCAGUUAAAAAGCUCGUAGUUGGAUCUCAGGAUUUGGAUGGAUGGUUCGCUUUCGGGCGCUACUAUCUGUCUGACCUACUCUAGUCGUGGAUGCCUUGGGUGCUCUUAAUUGAGUGCUUUUGGUGCCCGACGCAAUUACUUUGAAAGAAUUAGAGUGCUCAAAGCAGGCGUAUUGCCUGAAUAGUGUUGCAUGGAAUAAUGAAAUAGGAGUUUACUUCUAUUUUGUUGGUUUUCGGAGGUGAACUAAUGAUUAACAGGGACAGACGGGGGCAUUUGUAUGGAGGGGUUAGAGGUGAAAUUCUUGGAUCCUCUCCAGACAAACUACUGCGAAAGCAUUUGCCAGGAAUGUUUUCACUAAUCAAGAACGAAAGUCAGAGGUUCGAAGACGAUCAGAUACCGUCCUAGUUCUGACCAUAAAUGAUGCCAUCUAACAAUCCACGAAGUUUGCUUGUACGAACUCGUGGGCGGUCCCCGGGAAACCAAAGAUUUUGGGUUCCGGGGGAAGUAUGGUUGCAAAGCUGAAACUUAAAGGAAUUGACGGAAGGGCACCACCAGGAGUGGAGCCUGCGGCUUAAUUUGACCCAACACGGGAAACCUCACCCGGCCCGGACACUUUUAGGAUUGACAGAUUGAAGGCUCUUUCUUGAUCAAGUGGUUGGUGGUGCAUGGCCGUUCUUAGUUGGUGGAGCGAUUUGUCUGGUUAAUUCCGAUAACGAACGAGACUCUACUCUGCUAAAUAGAACGUUGAUAUAUAAAAGUCAGUGCUGACUUCUUAGAGAGACUAACGGCGUUUAGCCGUGUGAGAAAGAGCAAUAACAGGUCUGUGAUGCCCUUAGAUGUCCGGGGCCGCACGCGCGCUACACUGACUGCAGCAACUAGUAUGCUCCUGGUUUGAAAAAACUGGGUAACCUGGUUGAAUUGCAGGCGUGACAGGGAUCAGAGUUUGCAAUUAUCCUCUGUGAACGAGGAAUUCCCAGUAAGCGCAAGUCAUUAGCUUGUGCUGAUUACGUCCCUGCCCUUUGUACACACCGCCCGUCGCUACUACCGAUUGAAUGGUUUAGUGAGGUCUUCGGAUUGGUGCUGAUGGAGUGGUUCUCUGCUCUGUUAGUGCCGAGAAGAUGAUCAAACUUGGUCAUUUAGAGGAAGUAAAAGUCGUAACAAGGU